RNAcentral lists this transfer RNA (86 nucleotides) under Bacillota bacterium. RNAcentral describes it as "Firmicutes bacterium (anaerobic digester metagenome) tRNA-Tyr". It matches the Rfam family "tRNA". Rfam says of the family: Transfer RNA (tRNA) molecules are approximately 80 nucleotides in length. Their secondary structure includes four short double-helical elements and three loops (D, anti-codon, and T loops). The record is from RNAcentral. Lineage: Bacteria; Bacillati; Bacillota.
GGAGGGAUACCCAAGCUGGCCAAAGGGGGCAGACUGUAAAUCUGUUGGCGAUGCCUUCGAAGGUUCGAAUCCUUCUCCCUCCACCA